This 449-nucleotide ribosomal RNA is filed under the name uncultured bacterium. Its description in RNAcentral is "partial 16S ribosomal RNA". It matches the Rfam family "Bacterial small subunit ribosomal RNA", at positions 338 to 795 of the family's 1533-position model. The record is from RNAcentral.
CCUACGGGUGGCUGCAGUGGGGAAUAUUGGACAAUGGGCGCAAGCCUGAUCCAGCAAUACCGCGUGUGUGAAGAAGGCCUUAGGGUUGUAAAGCACUUUCAAUGGGGAGGAAAACCUACCGGUCAAUACCCGGUAGCUUGACAUUACCUGUAGAAGAAGCACCGGCUAACUCCGUGCCAGCAGCCGCGGUAAUACGGAGGGUGCAAGCGUUAAUCGGAAUUACCGGGCGUAAAGCGUGCGGUCAGAUGUGAAAGCCCCGGGCUUAACCUGGGAACUGCAUUUGAAACUGGCGGACUAGAGUUGAGUAGAGGGGAGUGGAAUUUCAGGUGUAGCGGUGAAAUGCGUAGAUAUCUGAAGGAACACCAGUGGCGAAGGCGACUCCCUGGACUCAAACUGACGCUGAGGUACGAAAGCGUGGGUAGCAAACAGGAUUAGAUACCCCAGUAGUC